GACGAACGCUGGCGGCGUGCUUAACACAUGCAAGUCGAACGAAAAGGCCCUGCUCUUGUGGGGUGCUCGAGUGGCGAACGCGUGAGUAACACGUGAGUAACCUGCCCUUGACUUUGGGAUAACUUCAGGAAACUGGGGCUAAUACCGGAUAGGAGCUCCUGCUGCAUGGUGGGGGUUGGAAAGAUUCGGCGGUUGGGGAUGGACUCGCGGCUUAUCAGCUUGUUGGUGGGGUAGUGGCUUACCAAGGCUUUGACGGGUAGCCGGCCUGAGAGGGUGACCGGCGACAUUGGGACUGAGAGACGGCGCAGAAUCCUACGGGAGGCAGCAGUGGGGAAUAUUGCACAAUGGGCGGAAGCCUGAUGCAGCGACGCCGCGUGCGGGAUGACGGCCUUCGGGUUGUAAACCGCUUUCGCCUGUGACGAAGCGUGAGUGACGGUAAUGGGUAAAGAAGCACCGGCUAACUACGUG
RNAcentral lists this ribosomal RNA (468 nucleotides) under uncultured bacterium. Its description in RNAcentral is "partial 16S ribosomal RNA". It matches the Rfam family "Bacterial small subunit ribosomal RNA", at positions 28 to 507 of the family's 1533-position model. The record is from RNAcentral.